Molecule: ribosomal RNA, 205 nt
Filed under: uncultured bacterium
Lineage: Bacteria
Description: partial 16S ribosomal RNA
Rfam family: Bacterial small subunit ribosomal RNA
Source: RNAcentral
UACGUAGGGUGCAAGCGUUGUCCGGAAUUAUUGGGCGUAAAGAGCUCGUAGGCGGUUUGUCGCGUCUGCUGUGAAAACCCGGGGCUCAACCUCGGGCCGCAGUGGGUACGGGCAGACUAGAGUGGCGGGUAGGGGAGAUUGGAAUUCCUGGUGUAGCGGUGGAAUGCGCAGAUAUCAGGAGGAACACCGAUGGCGAAGGCAGAGU